Long non-coding RNA from Pyrgilauda ruficollis (rufous-necked snowfinch), 1066 nucleotides. RefSeq lists it as uncharacterized. NCBI's taxonomy places the organism in Eukaryota, Metazoa, Chordata, Aves, Passeriformes, Passeridae. The record is from RefSeq and is a predicted model, not a curated record. The transcript is spliced from 3 exons.
GGGGCUGCUGGGGGCUGGGGUUUUCUUCUUGUAGCCCUGGCCUCUAGCGUGGGCCAGAAGCUUCCAGCCGCGCUUGCAGCUGCUCACCCUGACACUACAUCUGCUGGUGCACAGUCCUGAGGCACAAGUCUGUUGAGGAGCGGCCGAGGGAGCUGGGGGGGCUCAGCAGGCUCAGGGGAACCUUCUCGCUCCCUGCGACUACCUUACAUUACAAGAGGUUGUGGCCAGUUUCUAGGCUCUACAGAGACCUGAAGAGAAAUGUCCAUGGAACUGCGGUUUUAAUAUGUGUGCACUGAAGCAAAGCUACAGAGGAGCCUGACCUACAGCAGCAGAAAUACCUGAUGCACUGCUCAAAAUUAGGGAAUUCCCUUUACACAGGAUGUAGGGUGAUGACGCCUGACCCUCUCAAUGGAUGGGACCUGGUGCCUCUGCUGUUGGUAGCUGGUUUCCAGUCCUGUCUCCUCUGCUGCUGCCUCUGGAUGGGCCUAGGACCUGACUCUUCUGCUGUGUCUGAGAGCUGGUGGACCCUGUUACCAGAAUCCUGCCCUCCCUGCUUGCUCAGACUGGACCCUUUUUGAGGAGUGCCCUGCUGUGCUGGGGUUACCCUGGGCUCCUGGCUUGGCCCCUGCAUGGGGCAGCCCUCAGCUCCUUGGCUGCGUCCACUGCCUGCUGUCUCUUUGCUUGGCUGGGUGGAUGGCAGGUGACAGGGGUUAGUGCUGCAAGAAUCCCCCCAAAAGAGUCAGCUCUUGGUUUGUGGUAAGCUGUAGAUGGCUGGGAGAAAAUCAUAGAAUCUUAGAAUGGUUUGGGCUGAAGGGGACCUUAAAGAUUAUCUAGUUCUAACGCCCUGCUAUAGGUACGGACAACUUUUAUUAGCCCAGGUUCCUCCAAGCCUUGUCCAGCCUGGCCUUGAACACUUCCAGGGACUGGGCAACCACAGAUUUUCUGGGCAACCUGUUCUAGUGUGUCACCAUCCUCAUAGAGAAGAAUUUCCUCCUAAUAUCCCAUUUAAAUCUGCCCUUUGUCAGUGUGAAGCCAUUCCCCCUUGUCCUGCCACUCCAGGCUCUUU